This 2150-nucleotide long non-coding RNA is filed under the name Amborella trichopoda. RNAcentral describes it as "long non-coding RNA (ATRI_LNC001100)". The record is from RNAcentral. Lineage: Eukaryota; Viridiplantae; Streptophyta; Magnoliopsida; Amborellales; Amborellaceae.
AGUAGUGUAUAUACAAAACCAUACUUAUAUAUUUGUGCGAGUGCGAGUGCGAGUGUGAGUGUGUAUAUCAGUGUAUAUAUACAUUGAUAAUUAUAUAUAUAUGAUAGCAAGCAAUUGUAUACAUAAACGCAUAAACAUAUAAGUAUAUACAUAUCGUAUAUACACACACAUCAAUCCAUACACAACACGCAUAUGUGUAGCAUAUAUCUAUGAGUGCGAGUGUAAGUUGUGAGUAUGAGUGUGUGUGUGUGAGUGUGUGUUAGUGUGUAUGAAUGUGUGUGUGUGUAACUGUGAAAGUGUGUGUGCGAGUGUGAGUGUGUAUGUGUGAGCGUGUGUGAGUGUGUGUGAGUGUGAGUGUGAGUGUGGUGUGAGUGUGAGUGUGAGUAUGAGUGUGAACGUGUGUGUGUGUGUGUGAGUUUGUGAGUGUGCGUGUGAAUGUGAGUGAGUGUGAGUGAGAGUGUGAGUGUGAGUGUGAGUUGUGUGUGUGAGUGUGAGUGUGAGUUGUGAGUGUGUGUGUGUGUGUGAGUGUGAGUUGUGAGUGUGAGUGUGAGUGUGUGUGUGUGUGCACGUGAGUGUGUGUGAAUGUGUGAGUGCAAGGGUGUGUAUGACUCUGAUAGUGAAUGUGAUCGUGACUGUGACUGUGUGAGAGUGUGAGUGUGUGUAAGUGUGCGUGUGAGUGUGAGUGUGAGUGUGAGUGUGAGUGUGAGUGUGAGUGUGAGUGUGAGUGUGAGUGAGUGUGUCUGCGCGUGUGAGUGUGUGUGUGUGUAAGUGUGAGUGUGAGUGUGAAUGUGAGUGUGUGUGUGUGUGCGUGUGUUAAGAAAAAGUUACUUAAUGAAAUUGGAAACAAGUAAAGCUCCCUAAAAUUCACUCCAUAUUUGCAUAAAAGAAGCAAAAGUGUGUGUGUUAAGAAAAGUUACAUAAUAAAAUUGCAAACCACAAGUAAAGCUCCAGAAAAUUCACUUCUUAUUUGCAUGAAAGAAGAAGUACUAUAUUAAAGAAGAAAGAACCAUUAAGCAAAUCAAGUUUUCAAGAUCAAGAUCGCAAAAACAGGCAUAAACAUAUUAGUAUUUACAUAUCGUAUAUAUACACACAUCAGUCCAUACACAACAUGCAUAUAUGUGUAAUAUAUAUAUCUGUGAGUGUGAGUGAGUGUGAGUGUGAAUGUGAGUGUGAGUGUGAGUGUGAGUGUGAGUGAGUGUGAGUGUGAGUGUCAGUGUCAGUGUCAGUGUCAGUGUCAGUGUCAGUGUCAGUGUCAGUGUCAGUGUCAGUGUCAGUGUCAGUGUCAGUGUCGAUGUGAGUAUGAGUGUGAGUGUGAGUGUGAGUGUGAGUGUGAGUGUGAGUGUGUCAGUGUGAGUGUCAGUGUUAGUGUCAGUGUGAGUGUGAGUGUGAGUGUGAGUGUGAGUGUCAAUGUAUGUAUUAGUGUAUACAUACACAAUAUAUAUGAACUUAUCAACGUGUAAGGGUACAUGUGCGUGUGUAUAUCAGUGUAUAUAUACAUUGAUAACUAUAUAUAAUUGAUAGCAAACAAAUAUAUACAUAAACGUAUAAACAUAAAUGUAUAUACAUAUCGUAUAUAUACACACAUCAGUCCAUACACAACACACAUAUGUGUGGCAUAUAUCUGUGAGUGUGAGUGUAAGUUGUGAGUGUGAGUCUGUGUGAGUGUGUGUUAGUGUGUAUGAGUGUGUAAGUGUGAAAGUGUGUGUGUGUGAGUGCGAGUGAGUGUAAGUGUGUGAGCGUGUGUGAGUGUGUGUGAGUGUGAAUGUGAGUGUGAGUGUGAGCGAGUGUGAGCGUGAGUGAGUGUGAGCGAGUGAGUGUGUGAGUUUGUGAGUGUACGUGUGAAUGUGAGUGUAUGUGUGUGAGUGUGAGUUGUGAGUGUGAGUGUGUGUGUGUGUGUGAAUGUGUGAGUGUGCGAGUUUGUGUGACUCUGACUGUGACCGUGACUGUGACAGUGUGUGAGUGAGUGUGAGUGUGUGUGAGUGUGAGCGUGAGUGUGUGUGUGUAAGUGUGUGUGUGCGCGUGUGAGUGUGUGUGAGUGUGAGAGUGAGUGUGGGUGUGUGUGUGUGCGUGUGUUAAGAAAAAGUUACUUAAUGAAAUUGGAAACAACAAGUAAAGCUCCAAAAAAUUCACUCCAUAUUUGCAUAAAAGAA